CAAGUCGAACGAGAAAGUGGAGCAAUCCAUGAGUAAAGUGGCGCACGGGUGAGUAACACGUGACUAACCUACCCAGGAGUGGGGGAUAACUGAGGGAAACCUUAGCUAAUACCGCAUAACACCUACGGGUCAAAGGAGCAAUUCGCUUCUGGAGGGGGUCGCGGCCGAUUAGUUAGUUGGCAGGGUAAUGGCCUACCAAGACGAUGAUCGGUAUCCGGCCUGAGAGGGCGCACGGACACACUGGAACUGAAACACGGUCCAGACUCCUACGGGAGGCAGCAGUGGGGAAUUUUGCGCAAUGGGGGAAACCCUGACGCAGCAACGCCGCGUGGAGGAUGAAGUCCUUCGGGACGUAAACUCCUUUCGAUCGGGACGAUUAUGACGGUACCGGAAGAAGAAGCCCCGGCUAACUUCGUGCCAGCAGCCGCGGUAAUACGAGGGGGGCGAGCGUUGUUCGGAAUUAUUGGGCGUAAAGGGUGCGUAGGCGGUUUGGUAAGUCUGAUGUGAAAUCUAUGGGCUCAACUCAUAGUCUGCAUCGGAAACUGGCGGGCUUGAGUGUGGGAGAGGUGAGUGGAAUUCCUGGUGUAGCGGUGAAAUGCGUAGAUAUCAGGAGGAACACCUGUGGCGAAAGCGGCUCACUGGACCAUAACUGACGCUGAUGCACGAAAGCUAGGGGAGCAAACAGGAUUAAAUACCCUGGUAGUCCUAGCCCUAAACGAUGACUGCUUGGUGUGACGGGUACCCAAUCCCGCCGUGCCGUAGCUAACGCGUUAAGCAGUCCGCCUGGGGAGUACGGUCGCAAGGCUGAAACUCAAAGGAAUUGACGGGGG
Molecule: ribosomal RNA, 830 nt
Filed under: uncultured Acidobacteriaceae bacterium
Lineage: Bacteria; Pseudomonadati; Acidobacteriota; Terriglobia; Terriglobales; Acidobacteriaceae
Description: bacterial SSU rRNA
Rfam family: Bacterial small subunit ribosomal RNA
Source: RNAcentral